UAGGGAAUCUUCCACAAUGGGCGCAAGCCUGACGGAGCAACACCGCGUGAGUGAAGAAGGGUUUCGGCUCGUAAAGCUCUGUUGUUAAAGAAGAACACGUAUGAGAGCAACUGUUCAUACGUUGACGGUAUUUAACCAGAAAGUCACGGCUAACUACGUGCCGG
This 164-nucleotide ribosomal RNA is filed under the name uncultured bacterium. RNAcentral describes it as "partial 16S rRNA". It matches the Rfam family "Bacterial small subunit ribosomal RNA", at positions 355 to 511 of the family's 1533-position model. The record is from RNAcentral.